UACGGAGGGUGCGAGCGUUGUCCGGAAUCACUGGGCGUAAAGGGCGCGUAGGUGGCGCCGCAAGUCAACGGUGAAAGCUCGACGCUUAACGUCGAGUCGGCCGUCGAGACUGCGGGGCUCGAGCACUGUAGAGGCUCAUGGAAUUCCGGGUGUAGCGGUGGAAUGCGUAGAGAUCCGGAAGAACACCGGUGGCGAAGGCGGUGAGCUGGGCAGUGCUGACACUGAGGCGCGACAGCGUGGGGAGCAAACAGG
RNAcentral lists this ribosomal RNA (252 nucleotides) under uncultured bacterium. RNAcentral's name for it is "partial 16S ribosomal RNA". It matches the Rfam family "Bacterial small subunit ribosomal RNA", at positions 524 to 776 of the family's 1533-position model. The record is from RNAcentral.